RNAcentral lists this ribosomal RNA (465 nucleotides) under uncultured bacterium. RNAcentral describes it as "partial 16S ribosomal RNA". It matches the Rfam family "Bacterial small subunit ribosomal RNA", at positions 28 to 507 of the family's 1533-position model. The record is from RNAcentral.
GACGAACGCUGGCGGCGUGCUUAACACAUGCAAGUCGAACGGAAAGGCCCUGCUUGCAGGGUACUCGAGUGGCGAACGGGUGAGUAACACGUGGGUGAUCUGCCCUGCACUUCGGGAUAAGCCUGGGAAACUGGGUCUAAUACCGUAUAGGAACCAUUUUUAGUGUGAUGGUUGGAAAGUUUUUUCGGUGUAGGAUGAGCUCGCGGCCUAUCAGCUUGUUGGUGGGGUAAUGGCCUACCAAGGCGGCGACGGGUAGCCGGCCUGAGAGGGUGGACGGCCACAUUGGGACUGAGAUACGGCCCAGACUCCUACGGGAGGCAGCAGUGGGGAAUAUUGCACAAUGGGCGCAAGCCUGAUGCAGCGACGCCGCGUGGGGGAUGACGGCCUUCGGGUUGUAAACUCCUUUCGCUAGGGACGAAGCUUUUUGUGACGGUACCUAGAUAAGAAGCACCGGCUAACUACGUG